CCGAAGCUUACCUGGUGGAUGAGAAAAACUGACCACAUACACAAUGCAGAGUAAACAUCCGCAGACCACUGCUGCUCUUGAAGUAGCUUGCUUAAUUCAGGUCCAGAAUCUAAAUUUACUGCUGAAGACCCUAAGGCACCUGAGGGAACCCUGAGAAGCAGAACUGGCUGGAUCUCUUUUCUCCUUCUGGGCUUCUUUUUCAUCCAGGAUCACUCUGGCUUCCUGAGUUCUGGUUGCUCAGGAGGUGCUGCUAAGCUGGCGUUUGCCCUCACCGGCUGAUGCUACUCAAGCCACGACGGCUCCUUGGUAAAUGGGCCCCACUGACUUGCCAGCUAGAAACUGCGUCUCUGGGGCGGCUGCUCAGCCACAGAACCAGAGACCCCUCCUGGCCAGAUGCGCAGUGGAGCAGCGCCUGCCGCCUUGAAGCUGUUUUUGUGUCCUUCCCACUCCUCCCUCCCCUCUCCGAGCCAAGCCACCCUCUCCCCCGCCCUCAUUCCCAGGCCGGUGCGAGACUUCCUCCGGAGCGGACGUGGGCGGGGUGAUGGAGACAGAGACCAGCAGCCGCCACUGCUGAGGCCAGAACGGCAGGCAGCUGCUGAACAUCUCCUCCACAGCUGCCAGGGAACGGAGGGGGCGAGACGAGGGAAUCGCUGAGGAGGGGGAGGAGAGAGAGUUCUGCGAGGGCAGGAAGGAUGGAGAGAAGAGGCAGGGCGGGAUGCAGCUUUGACUGUGGAGCGGUGGGAAUAGGAGGGAGGAGAGGGCCGGGGAAGAGAAGAAGGAGAACAACUCAAGUUUUAGCCUUUGGGUGCUUUCUCUCUGGCCUUGCCCAGGAGAGCUUGUCAGGGCCAAUUAUCAGCCUGCAUUCAAAUCUGAACUUUGCUUAGGUGUGGGGGUGGACGGGGGUUGGGGGGGGAGGUAGCUGUUUAGGAAAGCGUGGCUUGGAGCUAACCACAACCUCACUCUAGAUUUCUUUCCCACUCUGGUGAUGUGAGUUAUGAAGGGCAGAGGAAAACAUUAUGCAUACCUGGAAAAACUGGUGUGCAACAGUGAAGUCUGGGGGUGAAGGGAAAAGGUGUUGGGCCUUCUUUCCCAAGUGGACUUUGGAAACUUUGCUAUGCCAUAGAACGUUCAUUUUAUAACCCUGUCUUGUUUGAAAAUGGUGAAGUUUCCUUAAAAAAAAAGAAAGAAAAAAGAAAGAAAGAAAGAAAGAAAGAAAGAAAGAAAGAUUUCUACAACACACCAAGAAAAGACAACAAAAAUGAGGAAAAGGGAAAAGAAAUCAUAUAUGCUUCUAAGAGGCUCCAAGUUUAUAUUCCAACGUGUGGGACAGAGGGGCAAAGUGGAACUAAACUAACAUUGGUUCUGUGCAAAUCAUGUCAGAGACUGCAUGUUUCAUCCAUGAUUCACAGAAGAGGCCUUGUGACAUGUACUUUCCUGGUUUAAAUUUUACACGUUAUAAAAAAUUUCAAACAUAAACAAAAAUACAAGGAAAAUAUAAUAAACUCCUAUGUACUCAUCA
This is a long non-coding RNA of Felis catus (domestic cat), 1519 nucleotides long. RefSeq lists it as uncharacterized. Lineage: Eukaryota; Metazoa; Chordata; Mammalia; Carnivora; Felidae. The transcript has 2 exons. The record is from RefSeq and is a predicted model, not a curated record.